Long non-coding RNA from Herpailurus yagouaroundi (jaguarundi), 1766 nucleotides. RefSeq lists it as uncharacterized. Lineage: Eukaryota; Metazoa; Chordata; Mammalia; Carnivora; Felidae. The transcript is spliced from 2 exons. The record is from RefSeq and is a predicted model, not a curated record.
UUUUCCAGUUGUGAAAAAGUUUUGAGGCAAGCACAAGGAGGCAAGGGCCCAGCUUAGAAGAAACAAGCUGUGACAUGAAGAAUUUUAGAAAGAAAAAACAGAUGAAGAUACAGACCAUAAGAACAAGGAAUAUUAGCUGUGGGAGAUCUGGUCUGGGAUGGCUUCCUGGAAGAGGUGGAACACGAACUGCAUUGCAGAGUGAGUAGGACUUAUAACUGGGCAGUAGCCCAGAAGGCAUUCCAAGUAAAGAGAACUGACUGAGAAAGAUUGCAAAAUGUGUUUGCGGGGCAAUGACGAGAAGAAAGGUGGAGAUCUGUGGCCGCUGCAUCAUUGCUACAAACGGGGGACCUCAAUCACAGGAAACCAACUGUAGUUCGUCCAGAGGUUCUUUAGAGAUUCCUCCCCUGUGCCAGUGCCCAUGGGGCUCUUAGCUCUCAGCAAGUGUUCAGCAGAAACUCUUGAUUCUAUUUGAGUUAAACAGAUGCUGCUGAGAAAAUAAUGCCAACAUAGGGAGUGCACAAAAGACAGGCAUGGCUUACCUUUUUGCAGAAAGAAACCACUUACCCAGACAGGUACUGUAACUAUAGACUGUGUUUCAUCGUCCUAACCUAACACCGUGAAAGUCUAAUUCCUCCACCUCUGAGAAAAGGGAGGGCCUCCAACAGACUUUUUUCUUUCCAUCAUGAAUUUUCUUUAAAAGUCUUUGUUUAGUGCCUAUUAAAAGCCUAAAAAAUUAAGUUUGCUUAUAAGCAAAGAAAAACAUUUUUAAUAUGUCCAAGUAUUGACUGUCUUACCUUAAAAGGUAAGAGCUAUAUCGCUUUAACAGUGCAGAUUGCUGUUUGGAUCAUAUUUUUAGGUCUCUUGGCAGUACAAAUGAUUACACUAACCUCAGAGUGAAUUGUCUGGCUGAUUUAUUUUUCAGCAUGCUCAGAAGAGGUUCUAUACUGUAUCCAAGUUUUUAUUUAUAUUUUUCUUACAAAAAUUCUUGACUAGACUCUUCAUCUAUGAUAAUAUAGCUUAGAAUUAUAUAUUCCUUUCAAUCAUGCAAUAAGUCAACAUUUAGCACUGUUAUGUGCCUAUCACUCUGUUAAUUACAAUAAAACAAAACAGCAAAGUAUAACACCAGAUGUUCAGCCUUCAAAGAAUUUGUAGUCUUUUCAGGAAGACAGGAGUGCCAUAAGUGCAGAAAUUUGACAAUAAUGCGAGGCAUUAUUGAAUACUAAACUGCUUGCUACAUACCGUAAGUAGUAAAGUCAUUAAAAUCUUUAGAGAAGUUCAAUAGUCAAUUCAUGUCCAAAAGGAAUAAUUUUUCUUUGAUUUUUAAAGUUGUCUUACAAACCUUUGUCCUUUGAGUAUGAAAGUGAUUUUUAGAUUUGAGACUUGCUUGCCAGCAAAUACAAUGAACAAAGUUAGAUGAUCGAAUUGGUGACUAUUUUUGGUCCCAGAGUGGUAGGAUUCUGAAUUCAUGGUUAUGAGUUCCAUGUGUAGCUUUCACAUUGACUGUAUCUGAUGCACAUUGGUGGGGAGGAAGCCAGAUGUCAGGCUAGGGAGAUGGAGGGAGGAGUCUGUAGGGGGCAAGGACAGCCUGGCAGAGUGGGAACUUACAUGGGGCCUUUAGAGACAUUAUUUCCAAUAACUAGCUGAGUAAUUCUUUUUCAGAUGGACUUUGUGUAGAACUUCAUGUAAUGCAAUGUUAUUGGUCUAUUAUGAAAUAUGCCUGGUGCUUUUCAUGCAGCUGAGCACAAAUAUAAAUUCUACUCUAUUCA